Long non-coding RNA from Brienomyrus brachyistius, 1110 nucleotides. RefSeq lists it as uncharacterized. The record is from RefSeq and is a predicted model, not a curated record. The transcript is spliced from 3 exons. Lineage: Eukaryota; Metazoa; Chordata; Actinopteri; Osteoglossiformes; Mormyridae.
AUUACAUUACAGCAGCGGCUCCACGAGCGCACACCCACGGCGACGAGCUGCAGCUCAGCGCUUCAGCCCGAGGCAAUAGUGGAGAGGGGAAACAUCUGUUAACAGACAACAAAGCAUCUCUGCGGAAGUGCAGCGUGACGUCUCUAUGUGGGACAGCAGGUCAUCCUGGAGGAAGUGCGGAUUUUCUGGUCCCGGGGCACUUCUGCUCGAAUAAUGUUUAUGAAUGACGCCUGUGUGGGUGUGUGUGGGUGUGGCUGCAGUGGACGCCGUAGGUUACGAUGCCCUCUUUGUAGAGCAGCCUGAAUAGGCUGAAUGGGGCAGGCGGCAGUGAGCCCGCAGAGCGGUGGGCCAAAGCACAAAGGCAUCGCAGGAGUAUGAGCUCAGCCGGAGCGGAGAGGGACACAGUCGCACAGCACUGACAGAAGAUGUCUUCUUCACACAAAACCACACGGUUAGAAAUUCAAUUCGGCCUCCUUGCACAGAUAAGGCACCAAAUCUCAGUUAAGGCUUUCUAGAAUUAAUGUGCGUAUUUUGUACACCGGUCAUUUUCUAAACAAGUACGCAAGACGUUCAUUACACUGAAAAGUUUCACAACUAAGAAGAGUUCAAGAUCUCUAUAACCAUAUUGGUAACAGUUUAGAGGGGCACAAACAAUGCACUAUUAUGCUAUUACUUAUGUAUUAAUUAACCAUAAACUAAGUCUUAGUUACAUACUGAUCUUAUGUUAAUUCAUCAUUAAUUAAUUGUGACACAUGUUUUAUCUCAAGCACUUACUGUACUAUAUUUGUUACUAUUGUUACUAUAUCUGUUAAUUCUGUAAACCUUUGUAAACUACUAAAGAACUGCUGAAGCAACAAGUGAUAACACAAGUGAAAAGUAAAAUACUUUUAGCUCAAGUAGCCACUAUAUUUUUUUCAUGAUUUGUUCAUGGUUUGUACUUAAGUAGUAACUGAGUUAAUACUACGUAUUUGAGUACUGUCAGGUAAAGUGGUGUUAACUAAUAUUGAAUUUUAGGAUUCAAUGCACCCUUUCCAUGUUUUAAUAUUUUUAAUUGAGGUUAUGUCUAAACUCGUGUGUGUAAUACAUUUGAGUUUAAAUAUAACCUCACUA